Molecule: ribosomal RNA, 253 nt
Filed under: uncultured bacterium
Lineage: Bacteria
Description: partial 16S ribosomal RNA
Rfam family: Bacterial small subunit ribosomal RNA
Source: RNAcentral
UACGUAGGGUGCAAGCGUUGUCCGGAUUUACUGGGCGUAAAGAGCGCGCAGGCGGUCGUUCAAGUCGCGUGUGAAAGCCCCCGGCUCAACUGGGGAGGGUCACGCGAUACUGAUCGACUCGAAGGCAGGAGAGGGUAGUGGAAUUCCCGGUGUAGUGGUGAAAUGCGUAGAUAUCGGGAGGAACACCAGUGGCGAAGGCGACUACCUGGCCUGUUCUUGACGCUGAGGCGCGAAAGCUAGGGUAGCAAACGGG